GACGAACGCUGGCGGCGCGCUUAACACAUGCAAGUCGAACGUGAAGCCCGGGCUUGCCCGGGUGGAAAGUGGCGAACGGGUGCGUAACACGUGAGCAACCUGCCCCGAAGACCGGGAUAACAGCGGGAAACCGCUGCUAAUACCGGAUGCCCUCAUCAUGUCGCAUGGCGAGAUGAGGAAAUGGAUUCCGCUUCGGGAUGGGCUCGCGGCCUAUCAGCUUGNGGUGAGGUAACGGCUCACCAAGGCAACGACGGGUAGCUGGUCUGAGAGGACGACCAGUCACACUGGAACUGAGACACGGUCCAGACACCUACGGGUGGCAGCAGUCGAGAAUUUUUCUCAAUGGGGGCAACCCUGAAGGAGCGACGCCGCGUGGAGGAUGAAGGCUUUCGGGUGUAAACUCCUGUCAUUUGGAACAAGCUGCAUCGGUUAACUGCCGAUGCAUUGAUAGUACAGAAGAGGAAGAGACGGCUAACUCUGU
RNAcentral lists this ribosomal RNA (481 nucleotides) under uncultured bacterium. Its description in RNAcentral is "bacterial SSU rRNA". It matches the Rfam family "Bacterial small subunit ribosomal RNA", at positions 28 to 506 of the family's 1533-position model. The record is from RNAcentral.